Molecule: ribosomal RNA, 281 nt
Filed under: uncultured Spongomonadidae
Lineage: Eukaryota; Cercozoa; Imbricatea; Spongomonadida
Description: partial 18S ribosomal RNA
Rfam family: Eukaryotic small subunit ribosomal RNA (bases 88-281)
Source: RNAcentral
GACUUCUGGUUUAAGGCACCUGGCCCGCGGCUCUUUAGGCUUGUGAGUGCCGGCGCGCGUUUAUUAUUCUUCUGGGGAACGGGUCUGAUCCAGAUCAUUUACUUUGAAAAAAUUAGAGUGUUUAAAGCAGGCUAUGAAUACAUUAGCAUGGAAUAAUAAUCUAGGACUUCGGUUCUAUUUUGUUGGUUUCUCUCACUGAAGUAAUGAUUGAUAGUUGGGGUGCUAGUAUUGGCCGGUCGAAAUUCUUGGAUUCGGUCAAGACUAACUUAUGCGAAAGCAUU